Mus musculus (house mouse) is the source of this 866-nucleotide long non-coding RNA. RefSeq annotates it as predicted gene, 29851. Lineage: Eukaryota; Metazoa; Chordata; Mammalia; Rodentia; Muridae. The record is from RefSeq and is a predicted model, not a curated record. The transcript is spliced from 4 exons.
UUAACUCUCAGCUGUGCACUGGGAAGUUAGGAGUCUGAGAAAGAAAGCUGGAAAGGGUAGGAGUGAUCUCUGCUGCCUUCUCCCAACAGGAAAGAUACCCUCUUGGCGGCACAUGCAGGAUGCCAUUAUGAGAAAGUGUUUAAAGCUACAGCACAGGAGGACCCAAUGCUGCACGUUACUACUUUGCUGGAGAGAUGAGUGUGACACACCUCCUCGCCAACACACCUGGUACAGACUCGUGGAGAAAGGCUGUAAUAUACUCUAGCUAUCCCAUGGAUGAGCUCAGCAACACAGUGAAGAUCAAGCUAAUGUCCUUCUAUCAACUUUCCCAAUACAUGAAAAUGGAAAUGGAAAACUGUACAGCAUCAGCAUCAGCAUCAGCAUCAACCAACCUGGUCCCCAUGAGGCCUAUUGACUGCUUCGUUCAUGGUUAUCUAAUCACUACUUACCAGCUUUGGCUCUUGCUUUGGUGGCACAUAGACAUUGGCUAAACCUUUAUGGAGAUCCCCCACCUGCUAAGUCAUAGCACCAUGUAAGUGCCAGCUCUGGGCACAUGUAGAAGCAAAUGAGAAAUGAUAACCACUUGAAAGAGCUUUGCUGUGAAAGGUGAAUGAAGCACCCACACCGUAUAAUCUGUGCAUUGGUUAAAUGAAAGAAUUCUGUCUCUGUUGUAGAGUUUAUCUGGCUUUGUGUGUGGCUUUUUUUAGAUACAUUAGGGAACAAUAUAGAAGGACCAUCCAUAUUAAAUAUCUAAAACUAUUCAGGGGAAGGAAGAGAGAGAGAAUUUUUACAACGCUAUAUUUGUGCACUUCCUUUGUGGGAAGCUUCCAGUCAAUGUCUUUGAAGCCUGCCCUUAUGAUACAUGA